RNAcentral lists this ribosomal RNA (905 nucleotides) under Micraspis acicola. RNAcentral describes it as "eukaryotic LSU rRNA". It matches the Rfam family "Eukaryotic large subunit ribosomal RNA", at positions 43 to 965 of the family's 3401-position model. Lineage: Eukaryota; Fungi; Ascomycota; Leotiomycetes; Micraspidales; Micraspidaceae. The record is from RNAcentral.
UCAAUAAGCGGAGGAAAAGAAACCAACAGGGAUUGCCUCAGUAACGGCGAGUGAAGCGGCAACAGCUCAAAUUUGAAAUCUGGCUCUUUCAGGGUCCGAGUUGUAAUUUGUAGAAGAUGCUUCGGGCGUGGCUCCGGUCUAAGUUCCUUGGAACAGGACGUCAUAGAGGGUGAGAAUCCCGUAUGUGACUGGGUGCCUAUGCUCAUGUGAAGCUCUUUCGACGAGUCGAGUUGUUUGGGAAUGCAGCUCUAAAUGGGUGGUAAAUUUCAUCUAAAGCUAAAUACUGGCCAGAGACCGAUAGCGCACAAGUAGAGUGAUCGAAAGAUGAAAAGCACUUUGGAAAGAGAGUUAAACAGUACGUGAAAUUGUUGAAAGGGAAGCGCUUGCAACCAGACUUGCAUGCAGCUGAUCAUCCGGUGUUCUCACCGGUGCACUCAGCUGUGUUCAGGCCAGCAUCGGUUUCGGUGGUUGGAUAAAGGCCUUGGGAAUGUAGCUUCCUUCGGGGAGUGUUAUAGCCCGCGGUGCAAUGCAGCCUACUGGGACCGAGGACCGCGCUUCGGCUAGGAUGCUGGCGUAAUGGUUGUAAGCGACCCGUCUUGAAACACGGACCAAGGAGUCUAACAUCUAUGCGAGUGUUUGGGUGUCAAACCCAUACGCGUAAUGAAAGUGAACGGAGGUGAGAACUCUUAAGAGUGCAUCAUCGACCGAUCCUGAUGUCUUCGGAUGGAUUUGAGUAAGAGCAUAGCUGUUGGGACCCGAAAGAUGGUGAACUAUACUUGAAUAGGGUGAAGCCAGAGGAAACUCUGGUGGAGGCUCGCAGCGGUUCUGACGUGCAAAUCGAUCGUCAAAUUUGGGUAUAGGGGCGAAAGACUAAUCGAACCAUCUAGUAGCUGGUUCCUGCCGAA